Molecule: ribosomal RNA, 373 nt
Filed under: uncultured organism
Description: partial 16S ribosomal RNA
Rfam family: Bacterial small subunit ribosomal RNA
Source: RNAcentral
GUAGGUGGCAAGCGUUGUCCGGAAUUAUUGGGCGUAAAGCGCGCGCAGGGCGGUCCUUUAAGUCUGAUGUGAAAGCCCACGGCUCAACCGUGGAGGGUCAUUGGAAACUGGGGGACUUGAGUACAGAAGAGGAAAGCGGAAUUCCAAGUGUAGCGGUGAAAUGCGUAGAGAUUUGGAGGAACACCAGUGGCGAAGGCGGCUUUCUGGUCUGUAACUGACGCUGAGGCGCGAAAGCGUGGGGAGCAAACAGGAUUAAAUACCCUGGUAGUCCACGCCGUAAACGAUGAGUGCUAAGUGUUAGGGGGUUUCCGCCCCUUAGUGCUGCAGCUAACGCAUUAAGCACUCCGCCUGGGGAGUACGGCCGCAAAGGCUG